GGGGGCGAAAGGUCUCGACAGGGGUCAUGCUCAUCGUGCGGAUGCAUGUCGGGCUUACUCUAUGCGGCUCGUGAAAAAGCAUGGGGAAACACAAUUGCCAAUAAUCAAGAAUUGGCCCUUGCUGCCUAAUUAAAGUUAGCCAGUGAGCGUCUCGCCGCAAGUCGCUCAAGCGCGCGGAGUGAGAUGUCACACAGUUGAGCUGGCCUGCCGUUUGUGUUCGGGGACGGCGGGCGAGAUUAAACCGGACUAGCCGCUGGCGGGGUCUUCGUCGCUUCACUGACCUGCCGGGGGCGAACCAGCCCGGAGCAAGACCGGGCGCAAGAGAAGCGGCUACACAUGUAGAUUCCGACGGUGGCGACCUUUGGACCCGAGUUCGAUUCUCGGCGCCUCCACUU
Molecule: transfer-messenger RNA, 395 nt
Filed under: Acidobacteriota bacterium
Lineage: Bacteria; Pseudomonadati; Acidobacteriota
Also listed under: 1 other name
Rfam family: transfer-messenger RNA
About the family: Bacterial tmRNA, also known as 10Sa RNA or SsrA, is named for its dual tRNA and mRNA-like properties. Its role is to liberate the mRNA from a stalled ribosome.
Source: RNAcentral